UCAGUCGACUCCUACGGGGAGGCAGCAGUGGGGGAAUAUUGCACAAUGGGCGCAAGCCUGAUGCAGCCAUGCCGCGUGUAUGAAGAAGGCCUUCGGGUUGUAAAGUACUUUCAGCAGUGAGGAAGGUGGGUAUGUUAAUAGCAUAUUCAUUUGACGUUAGCUGCAGAAGAAAGCACCGGCUAACUCCGUGCCAGCAGCCGCGGUAAUACGGAGGGUGCGAGCGUUAAUCGGAAUUACUGGGCGUAAAGCGCAUGCAGGUGGUUUGUUAAGUCAGAUGUGAAAGCCCGGGGCGUCAACCUCGGAAUUGCAUUUGAAACUGGCAAACUAGAGUACUGUAGAGGGGGGUAGGAAUUUCAGGUGUAGCGGUGAAAUGCGUAGAGAUCUGAAGGAAUACCGGUGGCGAAGGCGGCCCCCUGGACAGAUACUGACACUCAGAUGCGAAAGCGUGGGGAGCAAACAGGAUUAGAUACCCUGGUAG
Molecule: ribosomal RNA, 478 nt
Filed under: uncultured bacterium
Lineage: Bacteria
Description: bacterial SSU rRNA
Rfam family: Bacterial small subunit ribosomal RNA
Source: RNAcentral